GCAACUUUAACACCUCUGAGUAGAAAAUUUGAGACUCUUCUAAAUGCUGGAAACAAUAGAUGUUUGGUUUUUAGUAAAAAGAGAAAAAAGAAAAAAAAAACUGGGUGGGGCAGGGGAGAAGAAUUCAGUGCCAAAUAACCUUUAGCAAUGCUUAGUGGUAAUUACAGCAGAGAGACAUUGUAUUAAAGGUAGUGGAAGAAUAUUUUCUCCUCUAUAUUAAAAAUCUCUUAAGAUUGCUUCUUUCAAAACAAAAUUAAAAUUAAAAUCCAAGUUUAUCAUCAUUUUUCUCAGGAGAAAAGGUUGUUCUUUUCUACCAAAUUUUCCUGCCAUCAAAUGCUCAUCAAGUGACAAUAGAAAAAGCACCAUAGUUCUCAAGCAUCAGAUUGGGAGAAGAGUCUGCUCUCAAGAGCAUCAACUAUGUAGAAAGGCGACCACUAAAGGACAUACUUGUGGAAGAA
RNAcentral lists this non-coding RNA (458 nucleotides) under Pongo abelii (Sumatran orangutan). The record is from RNAcentral. Lineage: Eukaryota; Metazoa; Chordata; Mammalia; Primates; Hominidae.